Rattus norvegicus (Norway rat) is the source of this 126-nucleotide small nucleolar RNA. Ensembl annotates it as small nucleolar RNA SNORA17. NCBI's taxonomy places the organism in Eukaryota, Metazoa, Chordata, Mammalia, Rodentia, Muridae. The record is from Ensembl.
CCACAUAACAGAGGUAUUUCAGAUGUGACUGCUGUGCCACAUGUGUGUCAGUAGGUGGCAGAGGAGAGGAUGUCUAUGCUCAGUGUUCUGACCUGUGGACAUCUGAAUAAUUAGUAGCUUAUUAUU